UGGCAGACAAGGGGGAAGGAGCUCUGCUUGAGCGAGCAGAGGGAAGAGCCCUGAAUGCAUCAGCCGUUGAGACUGGUCCUGCUGGUGACCAGUCAGUGUGCUUGUCUGCCAGCUGUCAGUCAUCAGUCAUCACAAAUACCUCCACUGCCCUCUCCAGAGUUUGCUGGUUUGGAUCAAUGGGAAGAGGAGCCAAGCUGAGACAAGAGCAAUGUUUAACAGGUUUUC
This is a long non-coding RNA of Alligator sinensis (Chinese alligator), 225 nucleotides long. RefSeq lists it as uncharacterized. Lineage: Eukaryota; Metazoa; Chordata; Crocodylia; Alligatoridae. The transcript has 3 exons. The record is from RefSeq and is a predicted model, not a curated record.